RNAcentral lists this ribosomal RNA (487 nucleotides) under Fusarium oxysporum. RNAcentral's name for it is "eukaryotic LSU rRNA". The stretch from base 125 to 278 matches the Rfam family "5.8S ribosomal RNA". Lineage: Eukaryota; Fungi; Ascomycota; Sordariomycetes; Hypocreales; Nectriaceae. The record is from RNAcentral.
UGUGAACAUACCACUUGUUGCCUCGGCGGAUCAGCCCGCUCCCGGUAAAACGGGACGGCCCGCCAGAGGACCCCUAAACUCUGUUUCUAUAUGUAACUUCUGAGUAAAACCAUAAAUAAAUCAAAACUUUCAACAACGGAUCUCUUGGUUCUGGCAUCGAUGAAGAACGCAGCAAAAUGCGAUAAGUAAUGUGAAUUGCAGAAUUCAGUGAAUCAUCGAAUCUUUGAACGCACAUUGCGCCCGCCAGUAUUCUGGCGGGCAUGCCUGUUCGAGCGUCAUUUCAACCCUCAAGCACAGCUUGGUGUUGGGACUCGCGUUAAUUCGCGUUCCUCAAAUUGAUUGGCGGUCACGUCGAGCUUCCAUAGCGUAGUAGUAAAACCCUCGUUACUGGUAAUCGUCGCGGCCACGCCGUUAAACCCCAACUUCUGAAUGUUGACCUCGGAUCAGGUAGGAAUACCCGCUGAACUUAAGCAUAUCAAUAAGCGGA